UUGCUGCUGUUCCAGUGGCUCCUCCUUUGCUUUCAAACACACGUGCAUCUUCUCACCUUCAGAAGGGGUUCUGCUAAGCCACAGCUAACUCAGCAGCCAGCUCUCAAUUCCUUUUCAUUGUGAAAUGAAAUAAUGAGAGUUCUAUACCCAUUGUGUCCAUUGCCUUAUCAACUGAUCCUUCUUUAGCUGCCUGCAAUCUGCUGAUAUUGCCCAAGAUCACAAAUUGCCUAAUGGACUUUCUUCUGGCGGGCAGGCAGGCAAGCACUCGUUCACUUUGGUCUCUCUCCCACAGACGGCGCUCUGGAUCUCCCUCUGGGGUGACGAGAAGAGCACGGGAUUUGAGUAAAGACAAAUAUGAGAAAAUCAGCCUUCACCCAUGUGCUUCCCAGCUAAAAUGUCUUCCACUGAGUUCCCUAGCAAAACCGAAACCGAAAACAAACAUGGAAGUCCAGAUCAAGUCCUGCCUUUUGCAGGAAGCUUCUUCGAUCACUCCACUACCGUGGCCCCUAUCACCAUUCAUUAAGCACAGCAAAAGCUCUUUGACGAUAA
This is a long non-coding RNA of Felis catus (domestic cat), 549 nucleotides long. RefSeq lists it as uncharacterized. The transcript is spliced from 2 exons. Lineage: Eukaryota; Metazoa; Chordata; Mammalia; Carnivora; Felidae. The record is from RefSeq and is a predicted model, not a curated record.